UACGUAGGUGGCAAGCGUUGUCCGGAUUUAUUGGGUUUAAAGCGUGCGCAGGCGGUUGGCAAAGUCAGCUGUGAAAGCCCCGGGCUCAACCUGGGAAUGGCGGUUGAAACUAGUCGACUAGAAUCUGGCAGAGGGGGGUGGAAUUCCACGUGUAGCAGUGAAAUGCGUAGAGAUGUGGAGGAACACCGAUGGCGAAGGCAGCCCCCUGGGCUGAGAUUGACGCUCAGGCACGAAAGCGUGGGGAGCAAACAGG
Molecule: ribosomal RNA, 253 nt
Filed under: uncultured bacterium
Lineage: Bacteria
Description: partial 16S ribosomal RNA
Rfam family: Bacterial small subunit ribosomal RNA
Source: RNAcentral